Callithrix jacchus (white-tufted-ear marmoset) is the source of this 1827-nucleotide long non-coding RNA. RefSeq lists it as uncharacterized. The record is from RefSeq and is a predicted model, not a curated record. Lineage: Eukaryota; Metazoa; Chordata; Mammalia; Primates; Cebidae.
GAGCAGGGACGCUCACAGGCAAAAGGUGCAGCUGGACCCAAUAGAGGUGACCCCACCCUCCCCUGCGCAUGCGCAAAGGGGUUGGCAGCGCCUGAAGUCCCCCACCCCCACCCCCGACCGAGGGAGUCAUCACCCAGCCCUGAGGCAGCCUGGGAGGUACGUGGGAACGGUCUGCCCUUCAUCUCCGCUUGCACUCAGAAAGAUGGGGCUGAGAGAGGAAACCAGCGGCCACGCAACCUGACAAGACAAGAAUUGGCAGCAGAAGCCCGGCCAAGCAGAGGGCUGGAAGGGAAACUAGAAGAAAAAUGCAAACUAAGUGUUCCCUGAGGCUUCCUGGGCUAGUCGUGGAUAUAGUGUAGCCUACAGGAGGUCAGCGCAAAGACACGGGGCGGACUAGGCUGUCUCUUCCUCAUGAUGUUCACGGCCAGAUAUCCAGCUCCCAAUCCUCUGACCACCCUCAAACCCAGGCUAAGCAGGUCAAAGCUGGAAAUCCUGGAAUCUCCCUGACCCAAAAGAAACACUCAUCAUCUCACCAUUGUGGUUGAAAUCGCCGUUUGUAUUUAUUGGAAAAGCAGAACAGAAAGCACCUGAAAGGGUGCAGCUUCCACGGUUCUCCAAGCACGGGCUGUACAUCACCCUUAGGCUGGCCAAUCCCUUGCUGGGGAGCAAACCUGCUUUAUGGAAAUGCCCCCAGGAGGAAGAAACUGGAAGACGCACCUGCUAUUGCACCACACUAUGGAGAACACAGCUGACGAAGUGAUGACAGAGCUUGGCCGUGUGAGUGCCUCAGGUAAAAGUCUCCAAUCUGUCUAGUCCAGAGCAGACACUUCUUCUCCUUGGACAGCAGCCUGCCACCAAGACUCAAGCGACAUAAGAUUCAUCUCCCCGGCCAGGCACACAUCUGUAAUCCUAGCACUUUGGGAGGCCAAGGCAGGCAGAUCACCUGAGGUCGAGAGGUUGAGACCAGCCGACCAACAUGGUGAAACCCCAUCUCUACUAAAAAAAAUACAAAAUUAGCUGGGCAUGAUGGCACACACCUGUAAUCCCCGCUACUCGGGAGGCUGAGGCAGAGGAAUCGCUUGAAUUCAGGAGGCAGAGGUUGGGGUGAGUCGAGAUCACGCCAUUGCACUCCAGUCUGGGCAACAAGAGCAAAACUCCACUUCAAAAAAUAAAAAAGAAGAUGCAUCUCCCCAGACUGGCUGCUAGUACAAGAAGCACCCAGCUUUUUUAAAGGCGGGAGGGUGGAAAUGUGACAGUGAGUGCCAUUUCCACUGCAGCAGACAGCAUCACCAGACCCUGUCGUGUCUGGGUGGUCUCUGGGGGGCGGAUCCUGAUUAAGGGGCCAGGAGCCUUUACUGCUGGAACAGUGGGGAAGGGCUCUUGUUGGAUUAAAAGGCCAUGAUCAAAAGAUAACCAAGAGAAGGCCACUCAGUUGACUUCCGAAUCACACAGCUGGGACCCGCUCAAAGGUGCCUGAGCCGUAAGUAUAGUGAAUAGUCUCAUUUUUACUUAUAGUACUGUCUUCAAAGUUUUCUUUCCAGAAAGGUGAAGUGCUUUGGUGGGUAAGGAAUUGACGUCAGGACAAGUGCUAGGAUGAACAAAGAUUCCUAUCGAAUAAACAAGACUUGUUGCUGGGGCGGGGAGCGGGGGUUGUUUGCAUAAAGAGGAAGAGACUGGAAUCCUGGAACGGCCCCUUUGGGAGCCUGGCUGGGAGUGAGGUCAGGUCACAUGAUCCCAAUAGGUAAGGAGGUGUCUUUGCAGAAGUUCAGAGCAUCUUGGGGCACCUCACUUUGAAUUCAGAGACAUUGGAUAUAAUUACUGAGCAAA